This 298-nucleotide long non-coding RNA is filed under the name Bos taurus (domestic cattle). RNAcentral describes it as "long non-coding RNA NONBTAT026635". Lineage: Eukaryota; Metazoa; Chordata; Mammalia; Artiodactyla; Bovidae. The record is from RNAcentral.
CUCAGAAUACUAAACAGUAGCUACAGUCGUGAAGCAGAGCUCCCUAUGCAGCUACAUGAUACUUGAGAUGUACUCUUGAUUUCAGAAUAAUAACUAAGAGAUAAAGCAUUGGAGAAGGAUAAUGUAAAAGAAAGAGGUUUAGUUCAAAGUUUACGGUGUGAAUGAGGCUUUUAAAAUUGGUAUCUGAGUAAAUAGAUAUUAAAGAUACUAAAGAAGCACUCAUCAACAUGAUAUGGAAAGGAUGUCUGUCUAUCUAACAAGCUCGGUGAUUUCUGAGUCUGAGAAAGACACCCCCUUC